Long non-coding RNA from Malus domestica (apple), 1614 nucleotides. RefSeq lists it as uncharacterized. The record is from RefSeq and is a predicted model, not a curated record. NCBI's taxonomy places the organism in Eukaryota, Viridiplantae, Streptophyta, Magnoliopsida, Rosales, Rosaceae.
AAAAUGCUUUGUUGUUGUUGUUGUUGUUGUAUUUAUUUUUACAUAAGCAUUUCUCAUUUCUUCGGGCAAAUAAACAAACAUUAAUAAUGCGAACUUAGAUACAAACAUUAAUAAUGAGAACUUAGAUAAAUGUCAUUGACGAUGUAUUUUUGGAAUGAAAGUCUGGUGCAACAAAUGACAUUUUAUUGGUUUGUACAUAUGAGAUGGUAAACGAAUUGUUGAAGCCACAACCUUCUUUGAAUUGUUGUCCUGCAUGCAUUGGAGAAUAUUAGAAAUCACUGAAACUCAAAUAAGUUGAAACGGUUAUGCUUAUUGUAUAUGUGUUUCCGAAAAUAGCAGUUUUUACUAAACCUAGAAGAAGUUGAAGAUGUGCUUGAUCGAUUAAUUGUGUUCAUCCUUCCUGUCGAUUUCAUCAUCUUCACCCUUCCUGUGUUAGAAAUAAAAGACAGAUAUUUUCUUGAGAUAUAAUUGAGUUUUCAAAAGAAGAAAAACAUAUCUAAAUACACUCUAGUGUGCACAUACGCACAUACAUAUAUAUAUAUAUACACACACACACACACACACACAUACACACAUACAUAUUUAUGUGUGUGUAUGUGUAUUUUUGACUAAAUUUUGAUUACACUUUCGUCAAACUAAAUCUGAACUGUUGAUUAUGCUUUGCCUAAAUUUGUUGUCGAAAUUUUUGUGCUGUUUGCCAUAAAUGAUUGGAAAUUAAAAACCUUAUAUUAAAGCAUACCUUGUGACGUAAAUAUUCCUUAGAGUGGCAUUGAGGUCCCCCUUCCAUUCAGCCACUCCCAACGCGGUGCGUACUUGCAAUCGGGGAUGUGUGCCGGUAAGUUUAGGAGCUAAUAGGCUUAAGUUUUGCACGUCAGUAACCUUCAAUAACUCCAAAGACGGCAACUUCAAAGUAUAAGCUUCACCACAAAAAUACUUGAGUUUUGGCAGCCUUAAAAGCUUGAUGGACUUCACUUUAGGUAAUGUAAUUAUUUCAGCUGUUUCUUCUUCUGCGGCAAUGAUUUCUUCCAUCUGCUCACACUUCUGAACUUCUAUGUUCUCUACACUCACAAGAAGUUUGACUAUGGACGAUGAAAACAAGUAUUUCAACUGGUUGCAAUAAUAGACCCGCAGCGAUUUCAAGUUUCCGAAGCUGCUUCCCGUAAACAUCGGUUGUGAACUACCCGUCUCCCAAACACGCGUUAAACUUGGCAAUGUAUAUAACUGCAAGGAACUCAAUUUAUUGAAUGCUUCAACAGAGUGACUACUUUCUUCAUGCUUCGGUCCCUUGAGUUGGAAAAUCACUUCCAUCGAAUUACAGUCACUUACAGUUAAUUGGACGUGGCAAUAUUUCAAUGGGGCGGUGGGCGUUUGGUCUUGAGUAUGGUGCGCAUCCACAUCCAGCAGGGCACCAAUUCGAUGAACGUGUUGGAGAAGUGCUGAAAUCAUGACUUGUUGAAUCCUUCUUCAAGUUAUUCACCAAUGUCUUCAAAUUUUCACAUUUGUUCACGUGCAUAUUUUUUAUGGAUGACCAUAGAAAUGUAAAUCCCUCUGGACAAAGACUUGUGAGACGAGGCAGGUAUUGUAGUUCAAAUGUGUUCAGUUUCGGAAACAAAA